Long non-coding RNA from Dalotia coriaria, 767 nucleotides. RefSeq lists it as uncharacterized. The transcript has 4 exons. Lineage: Eukaryota; Metazoa; Arthropoda; Insecta; Coleoptera; Staphylinidae. The record is from RefSeq and is a predicted model, not a curated record.
CGUGCCGCUGCGCGUGACAUCGCGCAAGAUGGCUUUGCGAAUCUAUUGCUUUCACCUGCGGGGUUCAUGCAGUAGGCACAUACGAGUAGUCUUAUUGUGAAUUGUCGCGUCGUUGCUUGCUCGGCUUUAACCUGUGCCAUCGCAGCCAGUUUCGUGUCGGUCUCAACAAGUCUCAACUGGCGGCAAUAGAAUCCUGUUCACAAUUAUUUGCGCGUUUAAUAUCCAUAAAUGUUUUUUUUUUGCUCGCGUUAGAUAUUUAUAUUCCAAAUUACAACAAUGUUACGGUUUUAUGAUCGGUUAUUGUGAGACGUUGUCGGUCGCUGGAUAAAUCGGCAACAUAUUGCAGCGAUGUUGCUUCCCGUCAUUGGGAGGUCCCUUCGUGUUUGAUACUUGCCGUACCCGUGCAAUCCGAUAAGCGCUGAAUUGUGUUUGCCGUACUCGUGCAAUCUGAUGAGCGCUGAAUUGAUUUCUAUUUUACAAGUUGAAACUUGCAAAAUUUCGACGAAAAUUUCGUAAUUUUUGCAUUCGUGUUUUGGCGUGUCGAUCCUGACGUCGAACGUAUCGACGGACCACUUCGAGAACGCGUUCAAUAAGACAGUUAACUACUUCGAGUGCGUUAACUGAAGAAAGAAUAAUUGCCGGCCCCAACCUACAGCUGCGAUGUCUCUACGCUUCAUCCCCGAGUUUCUUAGGCACAUCAACAAUUUUCUUAGUGGGGAGAGUCCUUGUGGUGAGGGAAAUAAGGAUAAUAAAUAAUUUAAACAAUA